Molecule: ribosomal RNA, 1141 nt
Filed under: Candidatus Synechococcus spongiarum
Lineage: Bacteria; Bacillati; Cyanobacteriota; Cyanophyceae; Synechococcales; Synechococcaceae
Description: bacterial SSU rRNA
Rfam family: Bacterial small subunit ribosomal RNA
Source: RNAcentral
CGAAAGCCUGACGGAGCAACGCCGCGUGAGGGAUGAAGGCCUUUGGGCUGUAAACCUCUUUUCUCAAGGAAGAAGAUCUGACGGUACUUGAGGAAUAAGCCACGGCUAAUUCCGUGCCAGCAGCCGCGGUAAUACGGGAGUGGCAAGCGUUAUCCGGAAUUAUUGGGCGUAAAGCGUCCGCAGGCGGCCGUCUAAGUCUGUUGUUAAAUCGUGGAGCUUAACUCCAUCACGGCAAUGGAAACUGUUCGGCUUGAGUGUGGUAGGGGCAGAGGGAAUUUCCGGUGUAGCGGUGAAAUGCGUAGAUAUCGGGAAGAACACCAGUGGCGAAAGCGCUCUGCUAGGCCAUUACUGACGCUCAUGGACGAAAGCCAGGGGAGCGAAAGGGAUUAGAUACCCCUGUAGUCCUGGCCGUAAACGAUGAACACUAGAUGUUGGGGGAAUCGACCCCCUCGGUGUCGUAGCUAACGCGUUAAGUGUUCCGCCUGGGGAGUACGCACGCAAGUGUGAAACUCAAAGGAAUUGACGGGGGCCCGCACAAGCGGUGGAGUAUGUGGUUUAAUUCGAUGCAACGCGAAGAACCUUACCAAGGCUUGACAUCCUGCGAAUCUCCAAGAAACUGGAGAGUGCCUUCGGGAGCGCAGUGACAGGUGGUGCAUGGCUGUCGUCAGCUCGUGUCGUGAGAUGUUGGGUUAAGUCCCGCAACGAGCGCAACCCACGUUUUUAGUUGCCAGCAUUCAGUUGGGCACUCUAGAAAGACUGCCGGUGACAAACCGGAGGAAGGUGUGGACGACGUCAAGUCAUCAUGCCCCUUACGCCUUGGGCUACACACGUACUACAAUGCUGCGGACAAAGAGUAGCGAUCUUGCAAAAGUUAGCUAAUCUCAUAAACCGUGGCUCAGUUCAGAUCGUAGGCUGCAACUCGCCUACGUGAAGUAGGAAUCGCUAGUAAUCGCAGGUCAGCAUACUGCGGUGAAUACGUUCCCGGGCCUUGUACACACCGCCCGUCACACCAUGGAAGUUGGCCAUGCCCGAAGUCGUUACUCUAACCUUUUGGAAGAGGGCGCCGAAGGCAGGGCUAAUGACUGGGGUGAAGUCGUAACAAGGUAGCCGUAGCGGAAGCUGCGGCUGGAUCACCUCCUAA